This 478-nucleotide ribosomal RNA is filed under the name Microhyla mymensinghensis. Its description in RNAcentral is "partial small subunit ribosomal RNA". It matches the Rfam family "Bacterial small subunit ribosomal RNA", at positions 768 to 1483 of the family's 1533-position model. The record is from RNAcentral. Lineage: Eukaryota; Metazoa; Chordata; Amphibia; Anura; Microhylidae.
CAAACUGGGAUUAGGUACCCCACUAUGCCUAGCCGUAAAAUAUUUACUUACACCUUUAACCGCCUGGGAAUUACGAGCCCAAGCUUAAAACCCAAAGGACUUGACGGUGUCCCACCCACCUAGAGGAGCCUGUUCUAUAAUCGAUUCCCCCCGAUAUACCUCACCAUUUCUAGCCUUUCAGCCUGUAUACCUCCGUCGUAAGCUUACCAUAUGAACGUUUCUCAGUGAGCUAAAAGAUUUCUUCAUAAAUACGUCAGGUCAAGGUGCAGCCCACGAAAUGGCAAGCAAUGGGCUACAAUUUCUACAAUAGAACAUAACGAAAGACUACAUGCAACUCAGUCAUGAAGGCGGAUUUAGCAGUAAAAAGAAAAUAGAGAGUUCUUUUUAAUUAGGCGCUGGGACGCGUACACACCGCCCGUCACCCUCUUCAAACGCUUAUAAUAUGUCUGUAACACUUUUAUGCACCACAGAAGAGGCA